UACGGAGGGUGCAAGCGUUAUCCGGAUUCACUGGGUUUAAAGGGUGCGUAGGUGGGGAGGUAAGUCAGCGGUGAAAUCCCCGGGCUCAACCCGGGAACUGCGUCCGAUACUGGCAGGCUUGAAUCCGGGAGAGGGAUGCGGAAUUCCACGUGUAGCGGUGAAAUGCGUAGAGAUGUGGAGGAACACCAGUGGCGAAGGCGACUUUCUGGCUUAUAACUGACGCUGAGGCGCGAAAGCGUGGGGAGCAAACAGG
This 253-nucleotide ribosomal RNA is filed under the name uncultured bacterium. Its description in RNAcentral is "partial 16S ribosomal RNA". It matches the Rfam family "Bacterial small subunit ribosomal RNA", at positions 524 to 776 of the family's 1533-position model. The record is from RNAcentral.